RNAcentral lists this ribosomal RNA (335 nucleotides) under Agriocnemis pygmaea. RNAcentral's name for it is "partial 12S ribosomal RNA". Lineage: Eukaryota; Metazoa; Arthropoda; Insecta; Odonata; Coenagrionidae. The record is from RNAcentral.
GUAUUAGUUAUGUUCUUGAAACCCAAAGAAUUUGGCGGUAUUUUAGUCUUUUCAGAGGAACCUGUUCUUUAAUCGAUAAUCCACGAUUUUAUUAACUUCUUCUUGUUUUCAGUUUUUAUACCUCCGUCAUAAGAAUAUUUUUUUAGAAUAAAUUUUCUUUUUUGUUAAAACAAAGAUGUCAGGUCAAGGUGAAGCUUAUGUAGGAGUAGAAAUGGGUUACAAUAAAUUUAUUUAUACGGAUUUAUUUAAUUUAUAUUAAUAAUGAAGGUGGAUUUGGAAGUAAAAUUAAUUAAAUAUUUUUUUUGAUUUUAGCUCUAAAAUAUGUACACAUCGCC